Molecule: microRNA precursor, 61 nt
Filed under: Pristionchus pacificus
Lineage: Eukaryota; Metazoa; Nematoda; Chromadorea; Rhabditida; Neodiplogasteridae
Description: mir-8364 microRNA precursor family
Rfam family: mir-8364 microRNA precursor family
Source: Rfam by way of RNAcentral
UCUUCAUUUUGCACACUCUAUCGCCCCUCUGACCGGUGAGACAGUGUGCAAAAUGAAGAGA